AUACGGAGGGUGCAAGCGUUACUCGGAAUCACUGGGCGUAAAGCGCGCGCAGGCGGUCUUUUAAGUUGGAUGUGAAAGCCUACGGCUCAACCGUAGAACUGCAUCCAAAACUAUUAGACUAGAGUGUGGGAGAGGAAGAUGGAAUUAGUUGUGUAGGGGUAAAAUCCGUAGAGAUAACUAGGAAUACCAAAAGCGAAGGCAAUCUUCUGGAACACUACUGACGCUGAGGCGCAAAAGCGUGGGGAGCAAACAGGAUUAGAAACCCGAGUAGUCC
Molecule: ribosomal RNA, 274 nt
Filed under: uncultured bacterium
Lineage: Bacteria
Description: partial 16S ribosomal RNA
Rfam family: Bacterial small subunit ribosomal RNA
Source: RNAcentral